GGGUUGUGAGGUUAAGCGACUAAGCGUACACGGUGGAUGCCCUGGCAGUCAGAGGCGAUGAAGGACGUGCUAAUCUGCGAUAAGCGUCGGUAAGGUGAUAUGAACCGUUAUAACCGGCGAUUUCCGAAUGGGGAAACCCAGUGUGUUUCGACACACUAUCAUUAACUGAAUCCAUAGGUUAAUGAGGCGAACCGGGGGAACUGAAACAUCUAAGUACUCCGAGGAAAAGAAAUCAACCGAGAUUCCCCCAGUAGCGGCGAGCGAACGGGGAGCAGCCCAGAGCCUGAAUCAGUGUGUGUGUUAGUGGAAGCGUCUGGAAAGGCGCGCGAUACAGGGUGACAGCCCCGUACACAAAAAUGCACAUACUGUGAGCUCGAUGAGUAGGGCGGGACACGUGGUAUCCUGUCUGAAUAUGGGGGGACCAUCCUCCAAGGCUAAAUACUCCUGACUGACCGAUAGUGAACCAGUACCGUGAGGGAAAGGCGAAAAGAACCCCGGCGAGGGGAGUGAAAAAGAACCUGAAACCGUGUACGUACAAGCAGUGGGAGCCUCUUUUAUGGGGUGACUGCGUACCUUUUGUAUAAUGGGUCAGCGACUUAUAUUCUGUAGCAAGGUUAACCGAAUAGGGGAGCCGAAGGGAAACCGAGUCUUAACCGGGCGUUAAGUUGCAGGGUAUAGACCCGAAACCCGGUGAUCUAGCCAUGGGCAGGUUGAAGGUUGGGUAACACUAACUGGAGGACCGAACCGACUAAUGUUGAAAAAUUAGCGGAUGACUUGUGGCUGGGGGUGAAAGGCCAAUCAAACCGGGAGAUAGCUGGUUCUCCCCGAAAGCUAUUUAGGUAGCGCCUCGUGAAUUCAUCUCCGGGGGUAGAGCACUGUUUCGGCAAGGGGGUCAUCCCGACUUACCAACCCGAUGCAAACUGCGAAUACCGGAGAAUGUUAUCACGGGAGACACACGGCGGGUGCUAACGUCCGUCGUGAAGAGGGAAACAACCCAGACCGCCAGCUAAGGUCCCAAAGUCAUGGUUAAGUGGGAAACGAUGUGGGAAGGCCCAGACAGCCAGGAUGUUGGCUUAGAAGCAGCCAUCAUUUAAAGAAAGCGUAAUAGCUCACUGGUCGAGUCGGCCUGCGCGGAAGAUGUAACGGGGCUAAACCAUGCACCGAAGCUGCGGCAGCGACACUGUGUGUUGUUGGGUAGGGGAGCGUUCUGUAAGCCUGUGAAGGUGUACUGUGAGGUAUGCUGGAGGUAUCAGAAGUGCGAAUGCUGACAUAAGUAACGAUAAAGCGGGUGAAAAGCCCGCUCGCCGGAAGACCAAGGGUUCCUGUCCAACGUUAAUCGGGGCAGGGUGAGUCGACCCCUAAGGCGAGGCCGAAAGGCGUAGUCGAUGGGAAACAGGUUAAUAUUCCUGUACUUGGUGUUACUGCGAAGGGGGGACGGAGAAGGCUAUGUUGGCCGGGCGACGGUUGUCCCGGUUUAAGCGUGUAGGCUGGUUUUCCAGGCAAAUCCGGAAAAUCAAGGCUGAGGCGUGAUGACGAGGCACUACGGUGCUGAAGCAACAAAUGCCCUGCUUCCAGGAAAAGCCUCUAAGCAUCAGGUAACAUCAAAUCGUACCCCAAACCGACACAGGUGGUCAGGUAGAGAAUACCAAGGCGCUUGAGAGAACUCGGGUGAAGGAACUAGGCAAAAUGGUGCCGUAACUUCGGGAGAAGGCACGCUGAUAUGUAGGUGAAGUCCCUCGCGGAUGGAGCUGAAAUCAGUCGAAGAUACCAGCUGGCUGCAACUGUUUAUUAAAAACACAGCACUGUGCAAACACGAAAGUGGACGUAUACGGUGUGACGCCUGCCCGGUGCCGGAAGGUUAAUUGAUGGGGUCAGCGCAAGCGAAGCUCUUGAUCGAAGCCCCGGUAAACGGCGGCCGUAACUAUAACGGUCCUAAGGUAGCGAAAUUCCUUGUCGGGUAAGUUCCGACCUGCACGAAUGGCGUAAUGAUGGCCAGGCUGUCUCCACCCGAGACUCAGUGAAAUUGAACUCGCUGUGAAGAUGCAGUGUACCCGCGGCAAGACGGAAAGACCCCGUGAACCUUUACUAUAGCUUGACACUGAACAUUGAGCCUUGAUGUGUAGGAUAGGUGGGAGGCUUUGAAGUGUGGACGCCAGUCUGCAUGGAGCCGACCUUGAAAUACCACCCUUUAAUGUUUGAUGUUCUAACGUGGACCCGUGAUCCGGGUUGCGGACAGUGUCUGGUGGGUAGUUUGACUGGGGCGGUCUCCUCCUAAAGAGUAACGGAGGAGCACGAAGGUUGGCUAAUCCUGGUCGGACAUCAGGAGGUUAGUGCAAUGGCAUAAGCCAGCUUGACUGCGAGCGUGACGGCGCGAGCAGGUGCGAAAGCAGGUCAUAGUGAUCCGGUGGUUCUGAAUGGAAGGGCCAUCGCUCAACGGAUAAAAGGUACUCCGGGGAUAACAGGCUGAUACCGCCCAAGAGUUCAUAUCGACGGCGGUGUUUGGCACCUCGAUGUCGGCUCAUCACAUCCUGGGGCUGAAGUAGGUCCCAAGGGUAUGGCUGUUCGCCAUUUAAAGUGGUACGCGAGCUGGGUUUAGAACGUCGUGAGACAGUUCGGUCCCUAUCUGCCGUGGGCGCUGGAGAACUGAGGGGGGCUGCUCCUAGUACGAGAGGACCGGAGUGGACGCAUCACUGGUGUUCGGGUUGUCAUGCCAAUGGCACUGCCCGGUAGCUAAAUGCGGAAGAGAUAAGUGCUGAAAGCAUCUAAGCACGAAACUUGCCCCGAGAUGAGUUCUCCCUGACCCUUUAAGGGUCCUGAAGGAACGUUGAAGACGACGACGUUGAUAGGCCGGGUGUGUAAGCGCAGCGAUGCGUUGAGCUAACCGGUACUAAUGAACCGUGAGGCUUAACCUUACAACGCCGAAGGUGUUU
Molecule: ribosomal RNA, 2930 nt
Filed under: Escherichia coli O157:H7
Lineage: Bacteria; Pseudomonadati; Pseudomonadota; Gammaproteobacteria; Enterobacterales; Enterobacteriaceae
Description: 23S ribosomal RNA
Rfam family: Bacterial large subunit ribosomal RNA
Source: RNAcentral